Molecule: long non-coding RNA, 1156 nt
Filed under: Homo sapiens (human)
Lineage: Eukaryota; Metazoa; Chordata; Mammalia; Primates; Hominidae
Description: non-protein coding lnc-VRK1-10:4
Source: RNAcentral
AGUGUACAGCAGAAUGAGCCUCCUGUCACCAGCCCAGAGCUCUCAGACAGAAUUGAGUUCCUGUACAGUAGGACUUUCCACUCAUGUCUGUGGUCUAGGAGGAGAUUGGGUUGGGCAAACACCAGGCACGAUGGAGCAACCAUUAACCCUGGAGUUGUGAAGACAGGACCACAAGCUGAGAGAGGGCAGCAAUGGAAACCCAGCCAAACUAUUAAUGGAAGGCUGGGUCCCAUUCUUUAUUAUCCUUCUGUGGUCUCGUCACCAGCAGGGUGAGCCAAAGCCGAGGGCAAGAACACGCUGGGUGACCUUCCACACCCCAAAUGCAAGAUCAAGUGCUGUGGAGAAGGAGUUUUUAAAUUAACUUUCCUAAGACUUUACUGACAAACCUGAGAAAAACAAGCAAUGAGCAAAAUAUUCUCUAUUUAAUGAAUGUUGUUGAGAAAACUGACUAGCCAUAUGCGGAAAACUGAAACUGAACCCCUUCAUUACACCUUAUACAAAAAUUAACUCAAGAUGGACUAAAGAUUUAAAUAUAAGACCUAAAACCAUAAAAACCCCAAAAGAAAACCUAGGCAAUAUCAUUCAGGACAUAAGCAUGGGCAAAGACUUCCUGAUGAAAACACUAAAAGCAAUGGCAACAAAAGCCAAAAUUGACAAAUGGGGUCUAAUUAUACUAAAAAGCUUCUGCACAGCAAAAGAAACUAUCACCAGAGUGAACAGGCAACCUACAGAAUGGGAGAACAUUUCUGCAAUCGAUCCAUCUCACAAAGGGCUAAUAUCCAGAAUCCACAAGGAACUUAAACAAAUUUAGAAGAAAAAAACAACUCCAUCAAAAAGAGGGCAAAGGAUAUGAACAGACACUUCUCAAAAGAAGACAUGUGUGCAUCCAACAAACAUGAAAAAAAGCUCAUCAUCACUGGUCAUUAGAGACAUGCAAAUCAAAACCACAAUGAGAUACCAUUUCACGCCAAUUAGAAUUGCGACCAUUAAAAAGUUAGUAAACAACAGAUGCUGGAGAGGAUGUGGAGAAAUAGGAACAUUUUUACACAGUUGGUAGGAGUGUAAAUUAGUUCAACCACUGUGGAAGACUGUGUGGAGAUUCCUCAAGGAUCUAGAACCAGAAAUACCAUUUGACCCAGCAAUCCCAUUUCUGGGC